This 856-nucleotide ribosomal RNA is filed under the name uncultured organism. Its description in RNAcentral is "bacterial SSU rRNA". It matches the Rfam family "Bacterial small subunit ribosomal RNA", at positions 527 to 1382 of the family's 1533-position model. The record is from RNAcentral.
GGAGGGUGCAAGCGUUAAUCGGAAUUACUGGGCGUAAAGCGUGCGUAGGCGGUUUAUUAAGUCAGAUGUGAAAGCCCCGGGCUUAACCUGGGAACUGCAUUUGAAACUGGUCAACUAGAGUAUGGUAGAGGAAAGUGGAAUUUCUGGUGUAGCGGUGAAAUGCGUAGAUAUCAGAAGGAACAUCAAUGGCGAAGGCAGCUUUCUGGACCAAUACUGACGCUGAGGUACGAAAGCGUGGGUAGCAAACAGGAUUAGAUACCCUGGUAGUCCACGCCGUAAACGAUGAUAACUAGCCGUUGGGGGGAUUUACCCUUUAGUGGCGAAGCUAACGCGUUAAGUUAUCCGCCUGGGGAGUACGGCCGCAAGGCUAAAACUCAAAGGAAUUGACGGGGACCCGCACAAGCGGUGGAGUAUGUGGUUUAAUUCGAUGCAACGCGAAGAACCUUACCUGGUCUUGACAUCCUGCGAACUUUCUAGAAAUAGAUUGGUGCCUUCGGGAACGCAGUGACAGGUGCUGCAUGGCUGUCGUCAGCUCGUGUCGUGAGAUGUUGGGUUAAGUCCCGUAACGAGCGCAACCCCUAUCCUUAUUUGCCAGCACGUCAUGGUGGGAACUAUAAGGAGACUGCCGGUGAUAAACCGGAGGAAGGCGGGGACGACGUCAAGUCAUCAUGGCCCUUACGACCAGGGCUACACACGUGCUACAAUGGGAAGGACAAAGAGCCGCGAAGCCGCGAGGUGUAGCUAAUCUCAGAAACCUUUUCGUAGUCCGGAUUGGAGUCUGCAACUCGACUCCAUGAAGUCGGAAUCGCUAGUAAUCGUAGAUCAGAAUGCUACGGUGAAUACGUUCCCGGGUCUU